This is an RNA transcript of Trichosurus vulpecula (common brushtail), 3404 nucleotides long. It is a transcript of the gene named OFD1 centriole and centriolar satellite protein, with no coding region annotated. The record is from RefSeq and is a predicted model, not a curated record. The transcript has 23 exons. NCBI's taxonomy places the organism in Eukaryota, Metazoa, Chordata, Mammalia, Diprotodontia, Phalangeridae.
AGCUCUCGCGAGAACUGAGCCCGCCGCGGAUUGGCGCGAGGCUAAGGCGUUUAACAGCCGGUAUCUCUGGCCUAAUGCGCUUGCGCGACUGUGCAGUGGCGGCUGCACGGGCGGCCUGGCUGGGCACUGGGGGCAUGCUCCUCAGGAUGACCUAGAGCACACCUUAGUGGAUGCGGGGUGUGCACCCAUAUCAGUAAAAACUCCUUUUUGGCCACCAGGAUCCCUUUCCUGGUUUACUAACCCAGGCUUCCUUCUGGAGUCUCUCGCCCCAUCAGUUCAGGAUGCCUUUUGAAACUCAGGCAUUGUCUCAGGAUGAGCUCCGAAAGAGAUUGUACCAGACGUUUAAGGAUCGGGGUAUUUUGGACACUCUCAAGACUCAACUUCGAAACCAGCUUAUACAUGAGUUGAUGCAUCCUGUUUUGAGUGGAGAAGUGCAGCCACAGUCCAUUGCUGUUGAAGGAAGCUCACUAUUAGUUGGGGCUUCUAAUAGCCUUGUGGCCGAUCACCUGCGCAGGUGUGGCUAUGAAUAUUCACUCUCUGUUUUCUUUCCUGAGAGUGGCUUAGAAAAAGAAAAGGUUUUUACUAUGCAAGAUCUACUCCAGCUGAUUAAAAUCAACCCCAAAUCCAGUGUCUACAAAUCAUUGACUUCAAAGAUUCAAAAAGAGAACCAGAAAGGUUUUCUCAUGCAGAUUUUGAUGGAAUUGACAGAAUAUCAUCUAUCCAGGGAAAGUUGCAAUAUGGAGACUCAGACAAGUUCAGCAUUAUUACCUACUGGUGUAUCUCUUGCUGAAAAACUUCAACUCAUUGAUGAGCAAUUUGCAGAUAUUUAUCCCCAGCGCCUUAAACUGGAAUCCUUAGAAACGAAGCUCAACGAAUAUAAGAAAGAAAUAGAACAACAGCUACAAUCAGAAAUGUCUCAAAAGUUGAAGCAUUUUAAAGAUAUCGAAAUAGCAAGAAUGAGAAUGGAAGAAAAAAGAAGACUCCAAAAAGAAAUGACUGAAUUGCGGCAAGAAUUUGAAAAAACACACCAAGCAAAAUCUGAAGCUCUAAUUUCUCGGGAAAAGAAUGCUAUUGAACGACUUCAAAAGCACCAGGAGAUUGAGGCAAAAGAAAUUUAUGUCCAGAGACAGGGUUUGCUGAAAGACAUUGAAAUGGUAAGAAGUAGAGAAGCUGAACUGAAGCAAAGAAUUGAAGCUUUUGAAUUAACCCAGAAGCUACAAGAAGACAAAUAUAAAAACCUGGAAGAAUCCCUGAGAAGAAGGGAGCUAAAUAUAAAGAACAUGGAGGAUGCAUAUGAACAAAGACUCAAGAAUGAACUCCUGAAAUAUCAGCUUGAAUUAAAGGAAGAAUACAUUACCAGAUCUAAUAGAGUAAUUGAAGAAGAGCAAAAGAACAAAGAGAAAGCUAUGCGUUUGCAGGAAGAGGCCAAUGCUAUUAAUUCGAGAAGGGAAGAACUCAGGGAAGCUAUAAAUCGUGCCAAAGAUCUUGAGCUUGAAUUGGAUUCUCUCAAAGGACAGAUUUUAUUAGUAACAAAACAAAACCAGUUGCUGACUGAAAAACUUAAAGAUACUACUGAUUAUCUGCUUUUAAAAGAAGAGAGACUGGAGCUUCAGGCACAAAAUAAAUUACUUAAACAACAAAUGGAAGAGAUUAGAAAUGAAAACAUGCAACUUCAAAGAAGAUCUACCCAGCCAUCAGCUGAGUUCAUAGCUUUACAGAAAGAAUCACAGAAAGCAGAAAAUACAAGAAAGCUUGAACAGAAGGAGUUUGAGGCUGAAAAACAAGCCCUGGAAAAACGGCUUCAAAACGAGGUUGAGCAUUGUUCGCUCCUGAAGAACCAGAUAUUAGAUUAUGAAGCUUCUACAAGGAGGUUAAAUAUGCAGAUUGGAGACUUGAAAUCACAACUUAGGCAAACCCAAACAGCUUUAGAGAAUGAAGUAUACCGGAACCCAAAGCCAUCACUGGUUGAUCGUUCAGUCAUUGAUUUCACAAGUGACAAGAUUGUACCUCAUGACAUUUAUAUAGAUAAUUUCUUGAAGAAUCAGUUCUUUUCUGAUGCUGUUGUUCAGUCAGAAGAUCUUCCAAGGAGCAGGUAUUGCCAGCAUGCCAGAAUUGAAAAUACUUCUACAGAUGCUGACCUUGAAUUUGUAGCUAGUACCAAAGCGAGGGUGAAAGAACUAGAGAAAGAGGCAGAGUACUUAGAAGAAGCCUAUAGGAAUUACCAGCAACGUGUUAUUCAGGCUACAGUGAAAAGCCGCUCACCAGCAAGGAGUCAAUCUCCUUCACUUUUACCAGCGAUUCUAAGUAGUAGUAUUCACAAAAAAGGUAUGUUUGCAGAGGACAAAUUUGUUUCUGAGCAGCUUCCACUCAGCAGUCUUAAAGACGAGAAAGGUGAUGGGAUGACUGACAACCAAACUCCGCAGCAAAGGAGACCCCCUUCCCCCAGACGUCUUUCCUCUACCCCACGUCCAAAAGCAAGGAGAAGCCUUAACCAAAUGUAUUUAGGAGGUAAUGGGUCAUUUGUUGUGUCUCCCUGUCACCUUGGUGACAAAAUUCCAUCACCAAUUCCAAGGACAACCCAACUUUCAUCUGCUGUAUCUGCUCCCAAUAUCUCAGUUGCUUGCUUACCAAGCAAUCGUCAACAGAAGUCAAGUAAUUCUGAGCAGCACACUGAUCAAGAUGUAAGUGAAUUUUCAAAUGCAGAGAAAUCAGGCAUUGAAGAUGUUCAAAAUGAAUCUUCCUUAGAGUGGAAUAAUGGAGCCAUUGUCCAAACCUCUUUUAGAUGGUGGGAACAUUCCAAAGCAACUUGAAAUGGAUGUGUUAUAUCCAGCAGGAGAUAUGGUUCCCACUAACAAUGUCAUAGACACUGUGCCAACAAUAACUACUUUGCAUCAGGACCCAAUAAUCCUAGAUCUAGAAGAACAGAAGACAGAAGAAGAAAAAUGGGAAGAGAAACAGAGAGAGCGAGAGGAAAAGUGGCAGAGAGAAAGAUUGGAAACUUUUGAAAGGGAACGAAGAGAACUACGAAAACUGGAUCAAGAAAUGAGAUUGCUUGAAGAAUCAUUGAAAAGUGAAGUAGAAAAAGAUAUUAAAGAGUUAGAAAUCAUCAACAAAGAAAUUGUCAACCCUCUAGAAAAAUAUAUGAAAAUUAUCCAGCAGAAUAAAGAGCAGGAAUCAGUAAAUAAGAGCUCAAAAAAGGAGGUUGUGGAAGAAGCAUCAAUAGAAGAAACCCUGCUGUCUAAUGAUAAAGCUGACAGUUUGUCAGCUUCUGAAGAGCCAGAUGACUUCUGGUGAGAGGUUCGCUCCCCAGGCCCAUACUCCUAUCACUGUGAUGUAUCAAGUUUAGGCUCAGGUUUUCACUGUUGUAAGUUGGGAUAUUUAAUAAAGAUUUUACAUGGAAAAUC